Molecule: ribosomal RNA, 259 nt
Filed under: uncultured bacterium
Lineage: Bacteria
Description: partial 16S ribosomal RNA
Rfam family: Bacterial small subunit ribosomal RNA
Source: RNAcentral
UACGGGGGGGAGCAAGCGUUGUUCGGAUUUACUGGGCGUAAAGGGCGCGUAGGCGGUCGUGACAAGUCACUUGUGAAAUCUCCGGGCUUAACUCGGAACGGUCAAGUGAUACUGUCGGACUAGAGUACAGAAGGGGCAACUGGAAUUCUCGGUGUAGCGGUGAAAUGCGUAGAUAUCAGGAAGAACACCAAUGGCGAAAAGCAGCUCUCUGGGGACGGUACUGACGCUGAGACGCGAAAAGCGUGGGGGAGCGAACAGG